CCUACGGGUGGCAGCAGUGGGGAAUAUUGGACAAUGGGCGAAAGCCUGAUCCAGCCAUGCCGCGUGUGUGAAGAAGGCCUUCGGGUUGUAAAGCACUUUCAGUGGGGAAGAAAGCCUUGGGGCUAAUACCCUCGAGGAAGGACAUCACCCACAGAAGAAGCACCGGCUAACUCCGUGCCAGCAGCCGCGGUAAUACGGAGGGUGCGAGCGUUAAUCGGAAUUACUGGGCGUAAAGCGCGCGUAGGCGGUCUGAUAAGCCGGUUGUGAAAGCCCCGGGCUCAACCUGGGAACGGCAUCCGGAACUGUCAGGCUAGAGUGCAGGAGAGGAAGGUAGAAUUCCCGGUGUAGCGGUGAAAUGCGUAGAUAUCGGGAGGAAUACCAGUGGCGAAGGCGGCCUUCUGGACUGACACUGACGCUGAGGUGCGAAAGCGUGGGUAGCAAACAGGAUUAGAUACCCGAGUAGUC
This 465-nucleotide ribosomal RNA is filed under the name Vreelandella stevensii. RNAcentral's name for it is "partial 16S ribosomal RNA". It matches the Rfam family "Bacterial small subunit ribosomal RNA", at positions 338 to 795 of the family's 1533-position model. Lineage: Bacteria; Pseudomonadati; Pseudomonadota; Gammaproteobacteria; Oceanospirillales; Halomonadaceae. The record is from RNAcentral.